GACGAACGCUGGCGGCGUGCCUAAUACAUGCAAGUUGAGCGCUGAAGGUUGGUACUUGUACCGACUGGAUGAGCAGCGAACGGGUGAGUAACGCGUGGGGAAUCUGCCUUUGAGCGGGGGACAACAUUUGGAAACGAAUGCUAAUACCGCAUAAAAACUUUAAACACAAGUUUUAAGUUUGAAAGAUGCAAUUGCAUCACUCAAAGAUGAUCCCGCGUUGUAUUAGCUAGUUGGUGAGGUAAAGGCUCACCAAGGCGAUGAUACAUAGCCGACCUGAGAGGGUGAUCGGCCACAUUGGGACUGAGACACGGCCCAAACUCCUACGGGAGGCAGCAGUAGGGAAUCUUCGGCAAUAGACGAAAGUCUGACCGAGCAACGCCGCGUGAGUGAAGAAGGGUUUCGGAUCGUAAAACUCUGUUGGUAGAGAAGAACGUUGGUGAGAGUGGAAAGCUCAUCAAGUGACGGUAACUACCCAGAAAGGGACGGCUAACUACGUG
Molecule: ribosomal RNA, 497 nt
Filed under: uncultured bacterium
Lineage: Bacteria
Description: partial 16S ribosomal RNA
Rfam family: Bacterial small subunit ribosomal RNA
Source: RNAcentral